CCUACGGGUGGCAGCAGUCGAGAAUCAUUCACAAUGGGGGAAACCCUGAUGGUGCGACGCCGCGUGGGGGAAUGAAGGUCUUCGGAUUGUAAACCCCUGUCAUGUGGGAGCAAAUUAAAAAGAUAGUACCCCAAGAGGAAGAGACGGCUAACUCUGGGCCAGCAGCCGCGGUAAUACAGAGGUCUCAAGCGUUGUUCGGAAUCACUGGGCGUAAAGCGUGCGUAGGCGGUUUCGUAAGUCGUGUGUGAAAGGCGCGGGCUCAACCCGCGGCCGGCACGUGAUACUGCGAGACUAGAGUAAUGGAGGGGGAAGCGGAAUUCUCGGUGUAGCAGUGAAAUGCGUAGAUAUCGGGAGGAACACUCGUGGCGAAGGCGGGUUCCUGGACAUUAACUGACGCUGAGGCACGAAGGCCAGGGGAGCGAAAGGGAUUAGAUACCCCAGUAGUC
RNAcentral lists this ribosomal RNA (446 nucleotides) under uncultured bacterium. RNAcentral's name for it is "partial 16S ribosomal RNA". It matches the Rfam family "Bacterial small subunit ribosomal RNA", at positions 338 to 795 of the family's 1533-position model. The record is from RNAcentral.